This 429-nucleotide ribosomal RNA is filed under the name uncultured prokaryote. RNAcentral's name for it is "bacterial SSU rRNA". It matches the Rfam family "Bacterial small subunit ribosomal RNA", at positions 355 to 774 of the family's 1533-position model. The record is from RNAcentral.
UGGGGAAUUUUGCGCAAUGGGGGAAACCCUGACGCAGCAACGCCGCGUGAGUGAUGAAGGCCUUCGGGUUGUAAAGCUCUGUCAGAGGGAAAGAAAGGGGUGUCGGAAUAAUACCCGACACCAUUGACGGUACCCUCGGAGGAAGCACCGGCUAACUCCGUGCCAGCAGCCGCGGUAAUACGGAGGGUGCAAGUGUUAUUCGGAAUUACUGGGCGUAAAGAGCACGUAGGCGGAUAGGUAAGUCAGAUGUGAAAUCCCGGGGCUUAACUUCGGAACUGCAUUUGAUACUGCCUGUCUUGAGUAUGGUAGAGGGGGAUGGAAUUCCCGGUGUAGAGGUGAAAUUCGUAGAUAUCGGGAGGAACACCAGAGGCGAAGGCGAUCCCCUGGGCCAUUACUGACGCUGAGGUGCGAAAGCGUGGGGAGCAAACA